Molecule: long non-coding RNA, 799 nt
Filed under: Salmo salar (Atlantic salmon)
Lineage: Eukaryota; Metazoa; Chordata; Actinopteri; Salmoniformes; Salmonidae
Description: lncRNA (ENSSSAG00000118859.1)
Source: RNAcentral
AGAGAGAGGGAGGGAGAGAGAGAAAGAGAGAGAGAGAGAGAGAGAGAGAGAGAAAGCGAGAGAGAGAGAGAAAGCGAGAGAGAGGGAGGGAGAGAGAGAAAGAGAGAGAGUGAGACAGCAUCAUCAUGUCUUUCUCUCAGCCCACCUACUGUCAGAGGUGCCAGAUGUAAUUAUGUUAGUGACAGAGACAGACUGAACCAGACAGAUAGCAUAUGGCUCAGGGUAGCUGGCUGAGAGACAGACUGAACCAGACAGAUAGCAUAUGGCUCAGGGUAGCUGGCUGAGAGACAGACUGAACCAGACAGAUAGCAUAUGGCUCAGGGUAGCUGGCUGAGAGACAGACUGAUCCAGACAGAUAGCAUAUGGCUCAGGGUAGGUGGCUGAGAGACAGACUGAACCAGACAGAUAGCAUAUGUCUCAGGGUAGCUGGCUGAGAGACAGACUGAACCAGACAGAUAGCAUAUGACUCAGGGUAGUUGGCUGAGAAUUGUCAUGACUCUCAGGCCCCCACCGCCUGGCUACAUCACUGGCUGUGUCCCUACAGUACCUGCAGCUACAUAUAUAAUUAUUUUAACUACCCCACAAUUCUCCUCUCAUGCUUUGACUAGUUACAGUCACAUAUCUUGCUUUGGCAUGUCGUUACCUGCUCCUUGGAUGACUGGGCCGUACAGAUUCAUCCAGCAGUUACCUGCUCCUUGGAUGACUGGGCCGUACAGAUUCAUCCAGCAGUUACCUGCUCCUCGGAUGACUGGGCCGUACAGAUUCAUCCAGCAGUUACCUGCUCCUUGGAUGACUGGGC